This 305-nucleotide ribosomal RNA is filed under the name uncultured bacterium. Its description in RNAcentral is "bacterial SSU rRNA". It matches the Rfam family "Bacterial small subunit ribosomal RNA", at positions 334 to 637 of the family's 1533-position model. The record is from RNAcentral.
UCUUCCUACGGGACGCAGCAGUGAGGAAUAUUGGUCAAUGGCCGGGAGGCUGAACCAGCCAAGUCGCGUGAGGGAAGACGGCCCUACGGGUUGUAAACCUCUUUUGUCAGGGAGCAAGGUGCAGGUCGGGACCUGCUGUGAGAGUACCUGAAGAAAAAGCAUCGGCUAACUCCGUGCCAGCAGCCGCGGUAAUACGGAGGAUGCGAGCGUUAUCCGGAUUUAUUGGGUUUAAAGGGUGCGCAGGCGGGAGAUCAAGGCAGCGGUAGAAUGUCGGGGCUCAACCCCGGCCGGCCGGUGAAACUGGG